This 274-nucleotide ribosomal RNA is filed under the name uncultured bacterium. RNAcentral's name for it is "partial 16S ribosomal RNA". It matches the Rfam family "Bacterial small subunit ribosomal RNA", at positions 523 to 796 of the family's 1533-position model. The record is from RNAcentral.
ACACGGGGGGCGCAAGCGUUAUUCGGAAUUAUUGGGCGUAAAGGGCGUGUAGGCGGUUUUAUCGGUCAGAUGUGAAAGCCCAGGGCUCAACCCUGGACGUGCAUUUGAAACAGUAAGACUUGAGUACGGUAGAGGAAAGCGGAAUUCCUGGUGUAGAGGUGAAAUUCGUAGAUAUCAGGAGGAACACCGAUGGCGAAGGCAGCUUUCUGGACCGAAACUGACGCUGAUGCGCGAAGGCGUGGGUAGCGAACAGGAUUAGAUACCCCGGUAGUCC